GGGUAAUUAACUCAAUUGGUAGAGUACUCGGCUUUUAACCGAAUAGCUCCGGGUUCGAGUCCCGGAUUGCCCA
Molecule: transfer RNA, 73 nt
Filed under: Prototheca stagnorum
Lineage: Eukaryota; Viridiplantae; Chlorophyta; Trebouxiophyceae; Chlorellales; Chlorellaceae
Also listed under: 1 other name
Description: tRNA-Leu
Rfam family: tRNA
About the family: Transfer RNA (tRNA) molecules are approximately 80 nucleotides in length. Their secondary structure includes four short double-helical elements and three loops (D, anti-codon, and T loops).
Source: RNAcentral